Molecule: long non-coding RNA, 1824 nt
Filed under: Sus scrofa (pig)
Lineage: Eukaryota; Metazoa; Chordata; Mammalia; Artiodactyla; Suidae
Description: lncRNA (ENSSSCG00035067393.1)
Source: RNAcentral
UCAUGGCGACGCGGGGCCAUGUGCAGGACCCUAACGACAGGCGCCUCCGGCCCAUUUACGAUUAUCUUGAUAAUGGUAAUAAUAAAAUGGCAAUUCAGCAAGCAGAUAAAUUGUUGAAAAAACAUAAGGAUCUUCAUUGUGCUAAGGUUUUAAAGGCCAUUGGUUUACAGAGGACUGGAAAGCAAGAGGAAGCCUUCACCUUGGCCCAGGAGGUGGCGGCUCUUGAACCCACAGAUGAUAACUCACUUCAGGCACUGACCAUUCUUUACCGGGAGAUGCAUCGACGUACGUUUCUUCCUUCUCAUUGUUUUUAAACUUAUGCUUAAUUUUUUGGAUAUUUCUGAGUGAGUUCUCUAUUUGUCUGAUUUUACUUAUUACUCAUGAUUUAAUGGAUGGCAACAGGUAAAAUAAUGCAUUAACCAUGGCUUGCAAAGGCUAUAAGAUAGAAUGGAUAUUUUACAUAUAUUUGGAUCCUUGAAUUGGAAUGAAUACUUGAAUUUCAUUUAUGAUAUUUUGAUUUGCUAAAUGAAAGAGUUGCCUUUUUUCACUUUUUAAUAUGGAAAAUUUAAAACAGACAAAAACAGAGAAUAGUAUAAUAAAUCCCAUCAUACCCAUUACUCACCUUCAGCAGUUACUGACACAUGGUCAAUUUUAUCUGUACGUUUCUACCUAUUAGAUUAUUUCUUUCUUUUUUUUCUCUCUCUUCUUUGGAUGCCCUAUGUCACAUGGAGUUACCAGGCUAGGGGUCGAAUCAGAGCUGUGGCCGCCGGCCUGUGCCAGAGCCACAGCAACGCAAGAUCCGAGCCGCGUCUACAACCUACACCACAGCUCACGGCAACGCCAGAUCAUUAACCCAUUAAUCCCUGCAAGGGCAGGGAUUGAACCCGCAACCUCAUGGUUCCCAGUUGGAUUCGUUUACCACUGCGCCAUGACGGGAACUCCCAACGCUGGAUUCUUAACCCACUGUGUCAGGUUGGGAGUAGAACCUGUGUCCCAGUGCUGUAGAGACCAUUGUGCCAAUCCCAUUGCACCACAGCGGGAACUCUCAGAUUAUUUCUAAGCCUAUCCUAGAUGGUCUAUACUUUCAUCUGUAAAUAAAAUUUUUCACUGUCGAUCUCUUAAAUUUUUUUUAUGAAAUACAUAUUUUUAAUAGUGCAUAUUAUAGAAGAAUAUAUUUUAUGUAACACACUAGAAUAUUUGCUAUGGAAUAAAUAAACAUUCAUAAACCUACCACCCAACUUAAGAAACCGAGCAUAAUCAGUAUAGUCAUGUCUUGGAGGUAUCAUGGGUUUGGUUUAGGAAUGCCACAAUAAAGCAAAUAUCACAAUAAAGUAAGUCACACAAAUAUUUUGGUUUGCCAGUGCAUAUGGAAGUUAUGUUUAUACUAUACAUUUGUCUACUAAGUGUGCGAUAGCAUUAUGUCUUAAAAAAUCAAGGUACGUACCUUGAUUUAUAUAUAUAUAUAUAAUUUUUUUUUUUUUUUUUUUUUUUUUGUCUAUUUAGGGCUGUACCAACGGCAUAUGGAGGUUCCCAGGCUAGGGGUCCAAUUGGAGCUGUAGCCGCUGGCCUAUGCCAGAGCCACAGCAACACCGGAUCUGAGCCCUGUCUGCGACCUAUACAGUAGCUCAUGGCAACACCAGUUCCUUAACCCACUGAGUGAGGCCAGGGAUUGAACCCACAUCCUCAUGAAUACUCAUAGUCUGGUUUGUAACUCACUGAGCCACAAUAGGAACUCCCUCCACAGAUACUCUGAAUGGCAUCUAGAAUGGUGAAUUCUUUCCAAAAAGUUCUUAAUUUACUUUAUUCAGAUCCAUCAGAGGAAUC